GGAGAGGUGGCAGAGUGGUCGAAUGUACCUGACUCGAAAUCAGGCGUACGGUGAAACCGUACCGUGGGUUCGAAUCCCACCCUCUCCGCCA
This 91-nucleotide transfer RNA is filed under the name Orrella sp. Its description in RNAcentral is "tRNA-Ser". It matches the Rfam family "tRNA". Rfam says of the family: Transfer RNA (tRNA) molecules are approximately 80 nucleotides in length. Their secondary structure includes four short double-helical elements and three loops (D, anti-codon, and T loops). The record is from RNAcentral. Lineage: Bacteria; Pseudomonadati; Pseudomonadota; Betaproteobacteria; Burkholderiales; Alcaligenaceae. RNAcentral also lists the same sequence under 2 other names.